AAGUCGUAACAAGGUUUCCGUAGGUGAACCUGCGGAAGGAUCAUUAACACGUAUCCAACGUUAAAACAACCCCGUGAACUUUCAGCUUGCUCCUGUAGCCCGUGAAAGCAGCAAUCCCUGGUAAAUCAUUCUCUGCAGAUUGUGAUAUUUUAUAGCUACGGUUGAGCGAUUGCAUCUAGUGACCUGGCAUCCCCAAGUAAUCAUCAUUGAUUGUGUAAGGAUGGCGCAGUCACGAUCGCUGUAGGCCCACACGGCCGGCGACCGGGUCACCGGGCUCUGCUCCUUUACGACAACUACAGUCUACUUCGCCGCGCGUGAAAUUCGCACGGCACCAAAAACCGAACAACUGUUAACAAUGGAUAUCUC
RNAcentral lists this unclassified non-coding RNA (366 nucleotides) under fungal sp. RNAcentral's name for it is "partial internal transcribed spacer region". The stretch from base 1 to 46 matches the Rfam family "Eukaryotic small subunit ribosomal RNA", at positions 1786 to 1831 of the family's 1831-position model. Lineage: Eukaryota; Fungi. The record is from RNAcentral.